GAACGGCUGCUAAUACCCCAUAUCCUGAGGAGGGAAAGGAGAGAUCCGCCCAGGGAGGGGCUUGCGUCUGAUUAGCUAGUUGGGGGGGUAAUGGCCUCCCAAGGCAACGAUCAGUUGCUGGUCUGAGAGGAUGAUCAGCCACACUGGGACUGAGACACGGCCCAGACUCCUACGGGAGGCAGCAGUGAGGAAUCUUCCGCAAUGGGCGAAAGCCUGACGGGGCAAUGCCGCGUGAAGGAUGAAGGCCCAAUGGGUCGUAAACUUCUUUAGAUCAUAGACGAAUAGAUGACGGUACCUGAAGAACUAAUCAUCGGCUAAACCCCGUGCCAGCAGCCGCGGUAAGACGGGGGAUGCGAGCGUUAUCCGGAAUGAUUGGGCGUAAAGGGUCCGCAGGUGGCCCGGUCAGUCCGCUGUCAAAGCCUGGGGCUCAACCCUGGAGAGGCGGCAGAGACCACCGGGCUUGAGUCCGGUAGGGGCAUAGGGAAUUCCCGGUGGAGCGGUGAAAUGCGUAGAGAUCGGGAAGAACGCCAAGGGCGAAGGCACUCUGCUAGGCCUGAUUUCGCGACUGACACUCAUGGACCAGAG
This 585-nucleotide ribosomal RNA is filed under the name Klebsormidium sp. NC-DW. RNAcentral describes it as "SSU rRNA". It matches the Rfam family "Bacterial small subunit ribosomal RNA", at positions 154 to 759 of the family's 1533-position model. Lineage: Eukaryota; Viridiplantae; Streptophyta; Klebsormidiophyceae; Klebsormidiales; Klebsormidiaceae. The record is from RNAcentral.